RNAcentral lists this ribosomal RNA (492 nucleotides) under uncultured bacterium. RNAcentral's name for it is "partial 16S ribosomal RNA". It matches the Rfam family "Bacterial small subunit ribosomal RNA", at positions 29 to 507 of the family's 1533-position model. The record is from RNAcentral.
AGUGAACGCUGGCGGUAGGCCUAACACAUGCAAGUCGAACGGCAGCACAGUAAGAGCUUGCUCUUACGGGUGGCGAGUGGCGGACGGGUGAGGAAUACAUCGGAAUCUACUUUUUCGGGGGGGUUAACGUAGGGAAACUUACGCUAAUACCGCAUACGACCUACGGGUGAAAGCAGGGGAUCUUCGGACCUUGCGCGAUUGAAUGAGCCGAUGUCGGAUUAGCUAGUUGGCGGGGUAAAGGCCCACUAAGGCGACGAUCCGUAGCUGGUCUGAGAGGAUGGUCGGCCACACUGGAACGUGGACACGGUCCAGACUCCUACGGGAGGCAGCAGUGGGGAAUAUUGGACAAUGGGCGCAAGCCUGAUCCAGCCAUACCGCGUGGGUGAAGAAGGCCUUCGGGUUGUAAAGCCCUUUUGUUGGGAAAGAAAAGCAGCAGGUUAAUACCCCGCUGUUCUGACGGUACCCAAAGAAUAAGCACCGGCUAACUUCGUG